Molecule: transfer RNA, 77 nt
Filed under: Pseudomonadota bacterium
Lineage: Bacteria; Pseudomonadati; Pseudomonadota
Also listed under: 2 other names
Description: Proteobacteria bacterium tRNA-Asp
Rfam family: tRNA
About the family: Transfer RNA (tRNA) molecules are approximately 80 nucleotides in length.
Source: RNAcentral
GGGGUCGUAGUUCAGUUGGUUAGAACGCCUGCCUGUCACGCAGGAGGCCGCCGGUUCAAGUCCGGUCGACCCCGCCA